Molecule: ribosomal RNA, 279 nt
Filed under: uncultured bacterium
Lineage: Bacteria
Description: partial 16S ribosomal RNA
Rfam family: Bacterial small subunit ribosomal RNA
Source: RNAcentral
UGCCAGCCGCCGCGGUAAUACGGAGGGAGCGAGCGUUAAUCGGAAUUACUGGGCGUAAAGCGCACGUAGGCGGUUUGUUAAGUCGGAUGUGAAAUCCCCGGGCUCAACCUGGGAACUGCAUCCGAUACUGGCCGACUAGAGUACGAGAGAGGGAGGUAGAAUUCCACGUGUAGCGAUGAAAUCCGUAGAUAUUCGGAGGAACACCAGUGGCGAAGGCGGCUUUCUGGACCAAUACUGACGCUGAGAUGCGAAAGCGUGGGGAGCAAACAGGAUUAGAUA